Dipodomys ordii (Ord's kangaroo rat) is the source of this 70-nucleotide non-coding RNA. Lineage: Eukaryota; Metazoa; Chordata; Mammalia; Rodentia; Heteromyidae. The record is from Rfam.
GGGAAAGUAGCUCAGUGGUAGAGUGCUUGCCUUGCAUGCAUGAGGCUCCGGGUUCGAUUCCUCAGCACCA